This 483-nucleotide ribosomal RNA is filed under the name uncultured bacterium. RNAcentral's name for it is "partial 16S ribosomal RNA". It matches the Rfam family "Bacterial small subunit ribosomal RNA", at positions 29 to 507 of the family's 1533-position model. The record is from RNAcentral.
AUUGAACGCUGGCGGCAGGCCUAACACAUGCAAGUCGAGCGGAUGACGGGAGCUUGCUCCUGGAUUCAGCGGCGGACGGGUGAGUAAUGCCUAGGAAUCUGCCUGGUAGUGGGGGAUAACGUCCGGAAACGGGCGCUAAUACCGCAUACGUCCUGAGGGAGAAAGUGGGUGAUCUUCGGACCUCACGCUAUCAGAUGAGCCUAGGUCGGAUUAGCUAGUUGGUGGGGUAAAGGCCUACCAGGGCGACGAUCCGUAACUGGUCUGAGAGGAUGAUCAGUCAAAUUGGAACUAAAACACGGCCAAAACCCCUAGGGAAGGCAGGAGGGGGAAUUUUUGACAAAGGGGGGAAAGCCUAAUCCGCAACGGCGGGGGGUGGAAAGAAGUUCUUGGGUUGGAAAAGCCUUUUAAGUGGGGAGAAAGGGCAGAAAAGUAAAUCAUUGUUGUUUGAGCGUACCAAACAAAAAAGGGACCGCUAAAUACGUU